ACGAGCGCAAUAAGUUUCCAUUAUGGAGUGAUAUGAAUCGAGUAAACUGUUGUAGUAUGGCAGUGAUAAUGGUCAAGAUUGAAGAAAGCCAGACCGAGUUGUAAGAGAAUGCGUGUUGAUCGCGAUGAAUGGCAUGAUGUUGAUGACCGCAGAUGGGAGGACUGAGCCAACUGAACUGAACUGCGUGUUGGAUAUUAUUUGAACAUCUAUUCAAACGUCAAAAUGGAAAUAAUUCAGUGCGUGGCUAGAUGGUCAACAGAUGUAAAUCGUUGCCUGCAAUAGUGCACGUGUCUAGUUGUUCUAUCGGAUCUAUACAGUUGGUUCGGUACAUGUAUCGUCCAAGAGUAUGAGACAGAGGACUCGAAAUUUCGGACACGGGGCGAGUGACCACUGCUAGCGAGCUUUGUGACCAAUGACGUGGCCAGGGUUGCCAGCCAUUAUUACAGUGAGUGAAAGCAGAAAGGAUAGUCCAGGUGCUGAAGCCUCUUGAGGAGCUUGGCAGCGAUGAAAAAACACGUUCACAAGUUUCACCACGAGUGGAUCGCGUCCAUCAGAAUCUCUGGUCUGUACUGUCACCCGGUCGAGCAUUGCCUCUCAAACAUAUUGCCGGUAAUGGCUGGUCCCGUCCUGCUCGGCUCUCACUGUAUGCUGCUGCUGUUGUGGGCCUGCAUCUCGCUGGCCUCCGUGUCCGUCGCACACUGCGGGCCGGCUUCCACCUGCCGUCCAACGAGUACCACGACUACCAUCAUGAAAAGUUCAACCAGAACUUUGGCAUACCGGGAAUCUUUGAUUUGCUGCAUGGCACGGACAGUCACUUCCGUAAAUAAAAGUCGUACGAGCGCCAUUCCAUGCUACUUGCCACCACCCCAGCCAACGUUCUGAUUCCAGACGAACCGAAGAAAUGCCAGUAAAAAGGUUAAGUCUGCAGUGCAUGUGCAUGUGUGCAUCCUCACUGCUGUUGCUAGUCUCCUCCCAGUCCACCCUUGACCGUCCCAUCCUCCAGUUUCAAUGCUAGUCUCCUCACAGACCACCCUUGACCGUCCCAUUCUCCAGUUUUAAUGCUAGUCUCCUCACAGUCCACCCUUGACCGUCCCAUCCUCCAGUUUCAAUGCUAGUCUCCUCACAGACCACCCUUGACCGUCCCAUUCUCCAGUUUCAAUGCUAGUCUCCUCACAGUCCACCCUUGACCGUCCCAUUCUCCAGUUUCAAUGCUAGUCUCCUCACAGUCCACCCUUGACCGUCCCAUUCUCCAGUUUCAAUGCUAGUCUCCUCACAGUCCACCCUUGACCGUCUCAUUCUCCAGUUUCAAUGCUAGUAUCAUCACUACUCUACAUGUAUAUGUAUUUUAGCAUAUCCACCAUCAAUACUGGUCACAUGACAAAUUGCACUUACCUACCCUCACUACUUCAAGUAUGCCGCUGAUAUUAUUAUUUUUAUUCACAUAGCUAUGGGUUUAUUUGUGGCAAAUUCAAUAGUGCCCUAGCUCGGCCAAAUCUGUGUUCUAUAAUGGGUGGUUAUCGACAUCACACUGUUCAAUCCACCAGACUUAUCAGUGUCGACUCUAAUAGCUAAUGUGCAUUUUUCCGAGCCAUCACCAAGAAGUUCUUUUUCUUUCUCAGCUAGGCCCGUUCACAGUUUGUUUCUAUUUCAAUUUCCGCCCUUUCCACCAUCCUGGAAGCAUGGAGAGGGACAGUACCGGUAUUAUGGAUAUUUUUAAGUUACAAGCCGGGCAUUGGCUAUGUCAUCACUCAUCAGUACUACUUUCCGGCUGUACUGCUAUGACAUCACUACUACUUACCGGCUGUACUGCUAUGACAUCACUACUACUUUCCGGCUGUACUGCUAUGACAUCACUACUACUUUCCAGCUGUCCUGCUAUGACAUCACUACUACUUGCUCCCAAGUCACUCUGUUUUCUGUACCCGA
This is a long non-coding RNA of Sycon ciliatum, 1926 nucleotides long. RefSeq lists it as uncharacterized. The transcript has 2 exons. Lineage: Eukaryota; Metazoa; Porifera; Calcarea; Leucosolenida; Sycettidae. The record is from RefSeq and is a predicted model, not a curated record.